Molecule: long non-coding RNA, 388 nt
Filed under: Homo sapiens (human)
Lineage: Eukaryota; Metazoa; Chordata; Mammalia; Primates; Hominidae
Description: non-protein coding TMEM161B-AS1:40
Source: RNAcentral
AAAAGUUUUAUUGGGCUAAAAUCAAAAACAUCUGACAAGUUUUUGACUUGUCUUUCUCAUGAUUUAAUGUCCCAGCAGAGCAACUGGGAACCUAAUUCUGACCAAAAAGGAGGAAUUGUUUGGCUAAUUGGAAGUGACAGAAACCUUGGGAGAAAGCAACCGCAUACCAAGGAUAAUUAUAAGAAGAAGAGAAGACAUGGAGAAGAGGAGGGAGUAGUUGUGACCGUGGAGGCAGAGAAUGGAGUAAUGUGAUCAUAAAUCAAGGAAUGCUGACAGCCACUAAAGCUGGAGAAGGCCAAGGACAGAUAUUCAAUCCUCCCGUAGAAGUACAGCCCUGCUAAUGCAUUGAUUUUGGACUUCUGGCCUCAGAACUGUCUGGAAAGCAUGG